GACGUAGGGCGCGAGCGUUGUCCGGAUUUAUUGGGCGUAAAGAGCUCGUAGGCGGCUUGUCGCGUCGUCCGUGAAAACCCACAGCUCAACUGUGGGCUUGCGGUCGAUACGGGCAGGCUAGAGUUCGGUAGGGGAGACUGGAAUUCCUGGUGUAGCGGUGAAAUGCGCAGAUAUCAGGAAGAACACCUAUGGCGAAGGCAGCUCUCUGGGACGGUACUGACGCUGAGACGCGAAAGCGUGGGGAGCGAACAGG
This 253-nucleotide ribosomal RNA is filed under the name uncultured bacterium. RNAcentral's name for it is "partial 16S ribosomal RNA". It matches the Rfam family "Bacterial small subunit ribosomal RNA", at positions 524 to 776 of the family's 1533-position model. The record is from RNAcentral.